GACCCAGUGGUGCAAUGGCUAGCAUAUCUGCAUAUUAUUCAAUAUUGAUCAUAAUCAUUUCUGCAGGAGACCCCCCCCCCCCCGUUCGACUCGGGGUUGGGUCA
Non-coding RNA from Mycena rebaudengoi, 104 nucleotides. The record is from the annotation of a GenBank genome assembly. Lineage: Eukaryota; Fungi; Basidiomycota; Agaricomycetes; Agaricales; Mycenaceae.